This 648-nucleotide long non-coding RNA is filed under the name Brassica napus (rape). RNAcentral's name for it is "long non-coding RNA (BNAP_LNC007707)". The record is from RNAcentral. Lineage: Eukaryota; Viridiplantae; Streptophyta; Magnoliopsida; Brassicales; Brassicaceae.
UGGGGAGGUUUGGAAGAGUGAUAGUGAAUUUUUGGACGAACAGCGGAUGAAAACGUAGGGGAUGAACAUGUUCUUUUAAGUGAAGGCUUUUGUGGUUUGUCAGAAGAAUUUCAGUGGAGAUAGGGAUAGUUUUUUUGAGAUGGAGUUAAGGCAAACUGAUGAGAUUUUGAAGCAGAAGGACUAGAAGGUAAUGAGACGGAAUGGGAGCAUGGUGGGGUAGUAGUGAUAGGAGGAGUAGUAAUAGGUGGAACCGACUUCUUGACCACAUACUGUUUGCUUUUUACAGUAUUUACUUGAGUUUUGUUUGCAUUGACUGGACCUUUUUUUUUUGUUGUUUCUCCAGGAUCAGUCACCAUAUGAGGAGGGUCUUUUGGUGGUGCGUAUAGCAAGCAAUUUCGGAUCACAUGGCCAAGCUCAUUACAAUGUGAGCAAAUGGGAGGCAGCCAUGGAUAUUCCACUUGAACCUCAACGACCUCACCGCUUUGUCUCUCAAACUCAACAACGGUUUGGUUAGGUCCACUUCGACCUUAACGUGGGACAAGGUAAGACUGACUAGAUUAAGAGUAAAGUCAUCAGUUUCCUUAGGAUCUCCAAUUAUCCCAGCAACCAAACUUAGUCCUUAUUGGUAUCGUAGGUCAAGGGAUACAC